Molecule: ribosomal RNA, 401 nt
Filed under: uncultured Glomeromycotina
Lineage: Eukaryota; Fungi; Glomeromycota
Description: SSU rRNA
Rfam family: Eukaryotic small subunit ribosomal RNA
Source: RNAcentral
AGCAGCCGCGGUAAUUCCAGCUCCAAUAGCGUAUAUUAAAGUUGUUGCAGUUAAAAAGCUCGUAGUUGAAUUUCGGGAUCAAGUCGUCGGUCGUGCUUAGGUACGUACUGGCGUCAUUGAUUUCUCCCUUCUGACGAACCAUGAUGUCAUUAAUUUGGUGUCAUGGGAAAUCAGGACUGUUACUUUGAAAAAUUAGAGUGUUUAAAGCAGGCUCACGCUUGAAUACAUUAGCAUGGAAUAAUGAAAUAGGACGUUCGAUCCUAUUUUGUUGGUUUUAGGAUCAACGUAAUGAUUAAUAGGGAUAGUUGGGGGCAUUAGUAUUCAAUUGUCAGAGGUGAAAUUCUUGGAUUUAUUGAAGACUAACUACUGCGAAAGCAUUUGCCAAGGAUGUUUUCAUUAAU